Maniola jurtina (meadow brown) is the source of this 71-nucleotide long non-coding RNA. RefSeq lists it as uncharacterized. The record is from RefSeq and is a predicted model, not a curated record. The transcript has 3 exons. NCBI's taxonomy places the organism in Eukaryota, Metazoa, Arthropoda, Insecta, Lepidoptera, Nymphalidae.
GUUUAAAUCACAUCUCCUCUCCUCUCGUCUCGUCUCCACUCUGGUGGAGUCUGGCCUAUAAACCUCGUCUC